CUGCGCCACGAGUGGCAAUCAGUAUUAUUGGGCCUAAAGCGUCCGUAGCAGGUCACGUAAAUCUCUUGUGAAAUUGAUGAGCUCAACUCAUCACCGUGCAAGAGACACUGCAUGACUUGGGACCGGGAGGAGUCAGAGGUAUUCCAUGGGGAGCGGUAAAAUGCUAUAAUCCAUGGAGGACCACCUAUGGCGAAGGCAUCUGACCAGAACGGAUCCGACUGUGAGGGACGAAAGCCAGGGGAGCAAACCGGAUUAGAUACCCGAGUAGUCC
This 271-nucleotide ribosomal RNA is filed under the name uncultured archaeon. RNAcentral's name for it is "partial 16S ribosomal RNA". It matches the Rfam family "Archaeal small subunit ribosomal RNA", at positions 477 to 747 of the family's 1478-position model. The record is from RNAcentral.